Molecule: ribosomal RNA, 254 nt
Filed under: uncultured bacterium
Lineage: Bacteria
Description: partial 16S ribosomal RNA
Rfam family: Bacterial small subunit ribosomal RNA
Source: RNAcentral
UACGGGGGGAGCAAGCGUUGUUCGGAUUUACUGGGCGUAAAGGGCGCGUAGGCGGUCAGCACAAGUCAGUUGUGAAAUCUCCGGGCUUAACUCGGAAAGGUCAACUGAUACUGUGCGACUAGAGUGCAGAAGGGGCAACUGGAAUUCCCGGUGUAGCGGUGAAAUGCGCAGAUAUCGGGAGGAACACCUAUGGCGAAGGCAGCUCGCUGGGACGUUACUGACGCUGAGACGCGAAAGCGUGGGGAGCAAACAGG